RNAcentral lists this ribosomal RNA (279 nucleotides) under uncultured bacterium. RNAcentral's name for it is "partial 16S ribosomal RNA". It matches the Rfam family "Bacterial small subunit ribosomal RNA", at positions 506 to 784 of the family's 1533-position model. The record is from RNAcentral.
UGCCAGCCGCCGCGGUAAUACGAAGGGGGCUAGCGUUGUUCGGAUUUAUUGGGCUUAAAGAGCUCGUAGACGGCCUUUCAAGUAAGAUGUGAAAUCUCCAGGCUCAACCUGGAAACUGCAUCUUAAACUGGAAGACUUGAGUUUGGUAGAGGAAAGUAGAACUUUUAGUGUAGGGGUGAAAUCCGUAGAUAUUAAAAGGAAUACCGAAAGCGAAGGCAGCUUUCUGGACCAAAACUGACGUUGUUGAGCGAAAGCGUGGGGAGCAAACAGGAUUAGAUA